CAGCCGUAAACGAUGCGCGUUAGGUGUAUCGACGACCACGAGUCGUCGAGGUGCCGAAGGGAAACCGUGAAACGUGCCGCCUGGGAAGUACGGUCGCAAGGCUGAAACUUAAAGGAAUUGGCGGGGGAGCACCACAACAGGUGGAGCCUGCGGUUUAAUCGGACUCAACGCCGGAAAUCUCACCGGAUAAGACAGCAGAAUGAUUGCCGGGCUGAAGACUCUGCAUGACUAGCUGAGAGGAGGUGCAUGGCGUCAGUGACU
This 261-nucleotide ribosomal RNA is filed under the name uncultured archaeon. Its description in RNAcentral is "partial 16S ribosomal RNA". It matches the Rfam family "Archaeal small subunit ribosomal RNA", at positions 748 to 1008 of the family's 1478-position model. The record is from RNAcentral.